RNAcentral lists this small RNA (133 nucleotides) under Anaerobium acetethylicum. RNAcentral describes it as "c-di-AMP sequence". It matches the Rfam family "c-di-AMP riboswitch aptamer (ydaO/yuaA leader)". From Rfam's summary of the family: This family represents a conserved RNA structure found upstream of the ydaO and yuaA genes in Bacillus subtilis and related genes in other bacteria. The ydaO/yuaA element is thought to act as a genetic "off" switch for the ydaO and yuaA genes in its native state. It is believed that the element may be triggered during osmotic shock leading to activation of ydaO, a predicted amino acid transporter gene, and members of the yuaA-yubG operon which code for KtrA and KtrB K+ transporters. The record is from Rfam by way of RNAcentral. Lineage: Bacteria; Bacillati; Bacillota; Clostridia; Lachnospirales; Lachnospiraceae.
AACAUAUUAAUGCUGAAUCAUUUUGAACGGGAGAAUCAAUUUUUUGGGGUGAAUCUUGUAAGAAUUAUAAGUAGGGUUAAUUUCUCGUACCCGAAUCCGUCAGUUAAUCUCGUAAGCAUCUAAGAGAAGUUUU